CCUACGGGAGGCAGCAGUAGGGAAUCUUUCACAAUGGGCGAAAGCCUGAUGGAGCAACGCCGCGUGCAGGAUGAAGGCCUUCGGGUUGUAAACUGCUUUUAUAAGCGAGAAAUAUGAUGGUAACUUAUGAAUAAGGAUCGGCUAACUACGUGCCAGCAGCCGCGGUCAUACGUAGGAUCCGAGCAUUAUCCGGAGUGACUGGGUGUAAAGAGUUGCGUAGGUGGCAUAAUAAGUAGCUAGUGAAAUCUGGUGGCUCAACCAUUCAGACUAUUAGCUAAACUGUUAAGCUCGAGACCGUUAGGGGUAACUGGAAUUUCUAGUGUAGGAGUGAAAUCCGUAGAUAUUAGAAGGAACACCAAUAGCGUAGGCAGGUUGCUGGGACGGUUCUGACACUAAGGCACGAAAGCGUAGGGAGCAAACGGGAUUAGAUACCCCUGUAAUA
This 442-nucleotide ribosomal RNA is filed under the name uncultured bacterium. RNAcentral describes it as "partial 16S ribosomal RNA". It matches the Rfam family "Bacterial small subunit ribosomal RNA", at positions 338 to 795 of the family's 1533-position model. The record is from RNAcentral.